RNAcentral lists this ribosomal RNA (250 nucleotides) under Escherichia coli. Its description in RNAcentral is "partial 16S ribosomal RNA". It matches the Rfam family "Bacterial small subunit ribosomal RNA", at positions 1 to 247 of the family's 1533-position model. RNAcentral also lists the same sequence under 1 other name. The record is from RNAcentral. Lineage: Bacteria; Pseudomonadati; Pseudomonadota; Gammaproteobacteria; Enterobacterales; Enterobacteriaceae.
AAAUUGAAGAGUUUGAUCAUGGCUCAGAUUGAACGCUGGCGGCAGGCCUAACACAUGCAAGUCGAACGGUAACAGGAAGCAGCUUGCUGCUUCGCUGACGAGUGGCGGACGGGUGAGUAAUGUCUGGGAAACUGCCUGAUGGAGGGGGAUAACUACUGGAAACGGUAGCUAAUACCGCAUAACGUCGCAAGACCAAAGAGGGGGACCUUCGGGCCUCUUGCCAUCGGAUGUGCCCAGAUGGGAUUAGCUA